This 76-nucleotide transfer RNA is filed under the name bacterium. Its description in RNAcentral is "tRNA-Gly". It matches the Rfam family "tRNA". Rfam says of the family: Transfer RNA (tRNA) molecules are approximately 80 nucleotides in length. RNAcentral also lists the same sequence under 3 other names. The record is from RNAcentral.
GCGAGAGUAGCUCAGUUGGUAGAGCGUCAGCCUUCCAAGCUGAAAGUCGCGGGUUCGAGACCCGUCUCUCGCUCCA